This 280-nucleotide ribosomal RNA is filed under the name uncultured Glomeromycotina. Its description in RNAcentral is "partial 25S ribosomal RNA". The record is from RNAcentral. Lineage: Eukaryota; Fungi; Glomeromycota.
UUUUGCAUAUUCGUACUCUUGGGUGUACUUGCCCGUGUGGUUGGUUAACAUCAAUUUUGGUGGUCAUAAAAUGACUGGGGGAAUGUAGCUUCGAUCUUGUAUUGAAGUGUUAUAGCCUUCGGUAGAUGUGGUGAUCGAGAUUGAGGAUUGCAACGGAUACCUUUCGGGGCUACCUGUCUGAUCUCUGAUCGUUGCUUUGGUGCUGAAAGCGUGCUUAUAGUUAUCAAAGUCGAUGGUUAAUAGGUUAGAAUGGGUUAAAUUCGUUAAGGAUGUUGACGUA